RNAcentral lists this ribosomal RNA (229 nucleotides) under uncultured bacterium. Its description in RNAcentral is "partial 16S ribosomal RNA". It matches the Rfam family "Bacterial small subunit ribosomal RNA", at positions 118 to 346 of the family's 1533-position model. The record is from RNAcentral.
UGGGCAACCUGCCCCUAGCUCUGGGAUAACUGCGGGAAACUGUAGCUAAUACCGGAUGUGACACGAGACUGCAUGGUCUUCGUGUGGAAAGAUUUAUCGGCUAGGGAUGGGCCCGCGGUCUAUCAGCUUGUUGGUGGGGUAAUGGCUCACCAAGGCGACGACGGAUAACCGGCCUGAGAGGGCGACCGGUCACACUGGGACUGAGACACGGCCCAGACCUCCUACGGGA